Molecule: ribosomal RNA, 251 nt
Filed under: uncultured prokaryote
Description: partial 16S rRNA
Rfam family: Archaeal small subunit ribosomal RNA
Source: RNAcentral
ACCGGCAGCUCAAGUGGUAGCCGCGAUUAUUGGGCCUAAAGCGUUCGUAGCCGGAUAAGUAAGUCUUUGGUUAAAUCCUGCAACUCAACUGUGGGAAAUCUAGGGAUACUGCCCGUCUUGGGACCGGGAGAGGUUAGAGGUACUCCUAGGGUAGGAGUGAAAUCCUGUAAUCCUUGGGGGACCACCUGUGGCGAAGGCGUCUCACCAGGACGGCUCUGACAGUGAGGAACGAAAGCUGGGGGAGCAAGCCG